GUUCUUAUCAAUCUACAAUCUCUUUCAGGCCAUCUCUGGCGGGGCCGAUUGGGGCGACGUGGCGGGCCCGCUCCUGGAACUUGGUUGGGGCUACGCCGUCUUCUUCUCGAUCUUCAUGUGCUUUACGCUCUUCGCCGUGCUGAACAUCGUUACGGGUGUCUUCGUCGAGGGCGCCA
Molecule: small nuclear RNA, 176 nt
Filed under: Zooxanthella nutricula
Lineage: Eukaryota; Dinophyceae; Peridiniales
Description: Brandtodinium nutricula partial Dictyostelium signal recognition particle
Source: RNAcentral